Molecule: transfer RNA, 76 nt
Filed under: Corynebacterium pyruviciproducens
Lineage: Bacteria; Bacillati; Actinomycetota; Actinomycetes; Mycobacteriales; Corynebacteriaceae
Description: tRNA-Val
Rfam family: tRNA
About the family: Transfer RNA (tRNA) molecules are approximately 80 nucleotides in length. Their secondary structure includes four short double-helical elements and three loops (D, anti-codon, and T loops).
Source: RNAcentral
GCGCUUUUAGCUCAGUUGGGAGAGCAUCUGGUUUACACCCAGAAGGUCACAGGUUCGAGCCCUGUAGAGCGCACCA